This is a long non-coding RNA of Oncorhynchus keta (chum salmon), 4176 nucleotides long. RefSeq lists it as uncharacterized. The record is from RefSeq and is a predicted model, not a curated record. NCBI's taxonomy places the organism in Eukaryota, Metazoa, Chordata, Actinopteri, Salmoniformes, Salmonidae. The transcript has 4 exons.
AUGUACCUCUCUUUGCCAAACAGCAGAUGGCCUCACACACCGUCUGCCCUGGUACACCUACUGAGACCCAGCAGGGGCUGCUGGGUUGCCAGGUGUACGUAAUGAUGGGUUGAGUCCAAUAAGUGAUAUCUUGCCAUGUACGUAAUGAUGGGUUGCCAGGUGUACGUAAUGAUGUGUUGAGUCCAAUAAGUGAUAUCUUGCCAUGUACGUAAUGAUGGGUUGCCAGGUGUACGUAAUGAUGUGUUGAGUCCAAUAAGUGAUAUCUUGCCAUGUACGUAAUGAUGGGUUGCCAGGUGUACGUAAUGAUGGGUUGCCAGGUGUGCGUAAUGAUGGGUUGCCAGGUGUACGUAAUGAUGUGUUGAUUCCAAUAAGUGAUAUCUUGCCAUGUACGUAAUGAUGGGUUGCCAGGUGUACGUAAUGAUGGGUUGCCAGGUGUGCGUAAUGAUGGGUUGCCAGGUGUACGUAAUGAUGGGUUGCCAGGUGUACGUAAUGAUGGAUUGCCAGGUGUACGUAAUGAUGGAUUGCCAUGUGUGCAUAAUGAUGGGAACUAUGUGUGUGUAAUGAUGGGUUGCCAUGUGUGCGUAAUGAUGGGUUGCCAGGUGUGCGUAAUGAUGGAUUGCCAGGUGUGCGUAAUGAUGGAUUGCCAGGUGUGGGUAAUGACGGGUUGCCAUGUGUGGGUAAUGACGGGUUGCCAUGUGUGGGUAAUGACGGGUUGCCAUGUGUGCGUAAUGACGGGUUGCCAUGUGUGGGUAAUGACGGGUUGCCAUGUGUGGGUAAUGACGGGUUGCCAUGUGUGGGUAAUGACGGGUUGCCAUGUGUGGGUAAUGACGGGUUGCCAUGUGUGGGUAAUGACGGGUUGCCAUGUGUGGGUAAUGACGGGUUGCCAUGUGUGGGUAAUGACGGGUUGCCAUGUGUGGGUAAUGACGGGUUGCCAUGUGUGGGUAAUGACGGGUUGCCAUGUGUGGGUAAUGACGGGUUGCCAUGUGUGGGUAAUGACGGGUUGCCAUGUGUGGGUAAUGACGGGUUGCCAUGUGUGGGUAAUGACGGGUUGCCAUGUGUGCGUAAUGACGGGUUGCCAUGUGUGCAUAAUGAUGGAUUGCCAGGUGUGCAUAAUGAUGGGAACUAUGUGUGCAUAAUGAUGGGAACUAUGUGUGUGUAAUGAUGGGUUGCCAUGUGUGCAUAAAGAUGGGUUGCCAGGUGGGCAUAAUGACAGGUUGCCAGGUGUGCGUAAUGACGGGUUGCCAGGUGUGCGUAAUGACGGGUUGCCAGGUGUGCGUAAUGACGGGUUGCCAGGUGAGUGUAAUGACGGGUUGCUAUGUGUGUGUAAAGUUGCCAGAGCCGGUUGUUAGUAAACCGGCGAUGUCGACCGUCAGAGCGGGAGUCAACGUGACAGCCAGGCUCCAAGGAUCUCCCAUUCUUUGUAGCACUGAAUAGUUUCAUCAUCGUCCUUCUUCUUGAUCCAUCUGAUCCAUCAGAGGGUGUGGAGAGAUCUCAUAUAUUGCUUUCCCAUUGCGUUCCCCCUAGUGUAGCAAACAUGGGAAUUAACUAACUAUUUCCAUCUGGGCUAUUCUAAUAUUAUCUUAAGUGUUACAGGAUUGUCUAUCAGGGUUGGGAGUCAAAUCACUUAAUUCAGGAAGUGAACUAUACUGAACCAAAAUAUAAACGCAACGUGUAAAGUGUUGGUCCCACGUUUCAUGAGCUGAAAUAGAAGAUCCCAGAAAUUUUCCAUACGCACAAAAAACGUAUUUCUCUCAAAUUUUGUUCACAAGUGUGUUUACAUUGUUGUUAGUGAGCAUUUCUCCUUUUCCAAGAUAAUUCAUUCACCUGACAGGUGUGACAUAUCAAGAAGCUGUUUAAACAGCAUGAUCAUUACACAGGUGCACCUUGCGCUGGGGACAUUGAAAGACCACUCUAAAAAGUGCAAUUUGUCACACAACACAAUGCAACAGAUGUCUCAAGUUUUGAUAGAGUGUGCUAUUGGCAUGCCGACUGCAGGAAUGUCCACCAGAGCUGUUGACAGAAGAUGUUAUAUUAUUUUCUCUACCACAAGCCGCCUCCAACUACGUUUUAGAGAAUUUGGCAGUACGUACAACUGGCCUCACAACCACAGACCACGUGUAAUCACGCCAAUCCAGGACCUCCACAUCCGGCUUCUUCACCUGCGGGUUCAUCUGAGACCAGCCACCCGGACAGCUGAUGAAACUGUGGGUUUACACAACCAAAGAAUUUCUGCACAAACUGUCAGAAACCGUCUCAGGGAAGCUCAUCUGCGUGCUCGUCAUCCUCACCAGGGUCUUGACCUGACUGUAGUUCGGUGUCGUAAACCGACUUCAGUGGGCAAAUGCUCAACUUCGAUGGCCACUGGCACGCUGGGAGAAGUGUGCUCUUAACGGAUGAAUCCCGGGUUCAACUGUACGGGCGAGCAGUUUGCUGAUGUCAACAUUGUGAACAGAGAGCCCCAUGGUGAGGUGUGUGCAGUGGGACCCCGACCCUGGUUACUGGACUGACCCCAAUCCUGGUUACUCGACUGAUCCCGACCCUGGUUACUGGACUGACCCCGACCCUGGUUACUGGACUGACCCCAACCCUGGUUACUGGACUGACCCCAACCCUGGUUACUGGGCUGACCCCAAUCCUGGUUACUGGGCUGACCCCAAUCCUGGUUACUGGACUGACCCCACUCCUGGUUACUGGACUGACCCCAAUCCUGGUUACUGGACUGACCCCAACCCUGGUUACUGGACUGACCCCAACCCUGGUUACUGGACUGACCCCAAUCCUGGUUACUGGACUGACCCCAACCCUGGUUACUGGACUGACCCCAAUCCUGGUUACUGGACUGACCCCAAUCCUGGUUACUGGACUGACCCCAAUCCUGGUUACUGGACUGACCCCAAUCCUGGUUACUAGGCUGACCCCAAUCCUGGUUACUGGGCCGACCCCAACCAUAGCUAUUGGACUGACCCCGACCUUGGCUACUGGACCGACCGUACCCUGGUUACUGGACUGACCCGUAACCUGGUUGCUGGACCGACCACAAACUUAGCUACUGGACUGACCCCGACCCUUGUUAUUUCUUACAUUGUUACCCCAGGAAAUCUUGAGUCUUGUUACAUACAACCGGGAACAACUAUUGGAUAUACCAUCAAUACGACAAGGAAUACGACUUUCCCGAAGCGGAUCCUUUGUUCAGACCAUCACCCAGGGCAAUGGAUCUAAUUCCAGAAGCCGAUCCAAAACAACAGAUGGGGCAGACAAAGCGGCCUCCUGGUCAGACUCCGUAGACGUUCACAUCGCCCACCGCUCCCGAGUAUACUACUAGCCAACGUCCAGUCUCUUGACAAGAAGGUAGACGAAAUUCAAGGAAGGGUUGCCUUCCAGAGAGACAUCAGAGAUUGUAAUAUUCUCUGUUACACAGAAACAUGGCUCUCUCGGGACAUGUAGUCAAAUCAAAGCAAAUUUUAUUUGUCACAUACACAUGGUUAGCAGAUGUUAAUGCGAGUGUAGCGAAAAGCUUGUGCUUCUAGUUCCCGACAAGUCGGAAUCGGUUCAGCCACCGGGCUUCUCCAGCCACCGGGCUUCUCCAUGCAUUGUGCAAACAAAGAUGAACACCUCUCGGGGAAGAGGAAGGGUGGGGGUGUAUGCUUCAUGAUUAACGACUCAUGGUGUAAUCAUAACAUACAGGAACUCAAGUCCUUCUGCUCACCCAAACUAGCAUUCCUUACAAUCAAAUGCCGGCCAUUUUACCAACCAAGAGAAUUCUCGUCAGUUAUAGUCACAGCUGGUUUAUAUUCCCCCUCAAGCCCUAAAGGAACUUCACUGGACUUUAUGUAAACAGGAAAUCAUAUAUCCUGAGGGUGCGUUUAUUGUAGCUGGGGAUUUUAACAAAGCACAUUUUAGAACAAAGCUACCUAAAUUCCAUCAUCAUAUUAAUUGCACUAAUACAGUGGAUCACUGCUACUAUAACUUCCGUGAUGCAUAUAAAGCCCUCCCCCGCCCUCCCUUCGACAAAUCCAACCACGACGCCAUCUUGCCCCUACUGUUUUAUAGGCAUAAACUCAAACAGAAUGUACCAGUGGCGAGAACCAGUCAACGCUGGUCUGACCAAUCGGAAGCCAAGCUUCAAGAUUGUUUAGAUCAUGUUGGAAUAUGUUCUGGUCAGCCUCAGAGAACAAC